RNAcentral lists this long non-coding RNA (817 nucleotides) under Coturnix japonica (Japanese quail). RNAcentral's name for it is "lncRNA (ENSCJPG00005007192.1)". The record is from RNAcentral. Lineage: Eukaryota; Metazoa; Chordata; Aves; Galliformes; Phasianidae.
UCUUCUUUUAUUUACUGUCCUAAGCAACAGUAUUGCUUGUCCUCAUUUUCUUAUUGCAGAGUCCUUUGAGGAUAAAGCUGUAGACCACACCUGCCUGGUAACUUUCCCACCAAAAGAGUCUACCAGUUUUCGACUUGGAUUAUUCUUCUCAGCGUGACCAUAAAGCAGACAUGGACUGUUUUGCAGCUCCAUUGCGCAGAGUCACUGUGAUGUGUCAUAGAAUCAUAGAAUGGCCUGGGUUGAAAAGAACCACAAUGAUCAUCUAGCUUCAACCCCCCUGCUAUGUGGUCUUCCUUGAGUGAAUGUUCCUGCAGAUGGUAAAGAGGCUGUAGAAGAACUUUGGCUGCAAGGGAAAUUGUGUAGUCAAGUGACUACGCUCAGAAUAUCUGUAAAGCAACACACAAGGUUGUUGGCUCACUUGGAGAGGCUGAUUCUGGAAGGGAAUCUGGGGAGUUGAACAACAGCUAUUGCUCAAAAGAGCAAGAGUUUUGAUGUACAAGCAGAUAACCAGUAAAAAGGCAUUUCUACAGACAAUUCAGAAACGCUUUCCAGAUUCAGUGGGAUACAUUCUGGCAGGUCAUUAAGAAAACAAGAAGCUCUUUGUGCUGCUGGUCAGGUCAGAGGAUUGCACUGGUAAGUAAGCAUGUGGAGCAGCAUCAAAGCUUUGAAUACUUUGGGAUCUAUGAAUGCCCAAUGGCCAUGCUCUAAGCACAUGCAGUUCUGACUCAGGUCUUUUUAUCUGAUGUGAUUAAGUUUAUCAUCAAGUUUAUGAUCCAGAUUAUGCCAGUAUUUUAGAAGCAAUAUAAGUGUCUCUCUG